CAGUCGCCGCGGUAAUACGAGGGGGGCAAGCGUUGUUCGGAAUUAUUGGGCGUAAAGGGUGCGUAGGCGGUUUCGUAAGUCUGAUGUGAAAUCUAUGGGCUCAACCCAUAGUCUGCAUCGGAAACUGCGAGGCUUGAGAGUGGGAGAGGUGAGUGGAAUUUCCGGUGUAGCGGUGAAAUGCGUAGAUAUCGGAAGGAACACCUGUGGCGAAAGCGGCUCACUGGACCAUUUCUGACGCUGAUGCACGAAAGCUAGGGGAGCAAACAGGAUUAGAUACCCCAGUAGUCCCUGUCUCUUAUAC
Molecule: ribosomal RNA, 301 nt
Filed under: uncultured bacterium
Lineage: Bacteria
Description: partial 16S ribosomal RNA
Rfam family: Bacterial small subunit ribosomal RNA
Source: RNAcentral